GGGUUAAGUCCCGUAACGAGCGCAACCCUUGUCCUUAGUUGCCAGCGCGUAAUGGCGGGAACUCUAAGGAGACUGCCGGUGACAAACCGGAGGAAGGUGGGGAUGACGUCAAGUCCUCAUGGCCCUUAUGGGUAGGGCUUCACACGUCAUACAAUGGUCGGUACAGAGGGUUGCCAAGCCGCGAGGUGGAGCCAAUCCCACAAAGCCGAUCGUAGUCCGGAUCGCAGUCUGCAACUCGACUGCGUGAAGUCGGAAUCGCUAGUAAUCGUGGAUCAGCAUGCCACGGUGAAUACGUUCCCGGGUCUUGUACACACCGCCCGUCACACCAUGGGAGUGGGUUUCACCAGAAGUAGUUAGCCUAACCGCAAGGGGGGCGAUUACCACGGUGGGAUUCAUGACUGGGGUGAAGUCGUAACAAGGUAGCCGUAGGGGAACCUGCGGCUGGAUCACCUCCUUU
This 457-nucleotide ribosomal RNA is filed under the name uncultured bacterium. RNAcentral's name for it is "bacterial SSU rRNA". It matches the Rfam family "Bacterial small subunit ribosomal RNA", at positions 1077 to 1533 of the family's 1533-position model. The record is from RNAcentral.